AGAGCGAACGCUGGCGGCAGGCCUAACACAUGCAAGUCGAACGGACCCUUCGGGGUUAGUGGCGGACGGGUGAGUAACACGUGGGAACGUGCCUUUUGGUUCGGAAUAGCUCCUGGAAACGGGUGGUAAUGCCGAAUGUGCCCUUCGGGGGAAAGAUUUAUCGCCUUUAGAGCGGCCCGCGUCUGAUUAGCUAGUUGGUGAGGUAAAGGCUCACCAAGGCUACGAUCAGUAGCUGGUCUGAGAGGAUGACCAACCACAUUGGGACUGAGACACGGCCCAAACUCCUACGGGAGGCAGCAGUGGGGAAUCUUGCGCAAUGGGCGAAAGCCUGACGCAGCCAUGCCGCGUGAAUGAUGAAGGUCUUAGGAUUAGUAAAUUCUUCAGUAGGACGAUAAUGACGUACCUACAGAAGAAGCCCGACUAACUUCGCGCCAGCAGCCGC
RNAcentral lists this ribosomal RNA (442 nucleotides) under uncultured soil bacterium. Its description in RNAcentral is "bacterial SSU rRNA". It matches the Rfam family "Bacterial small subunit ribosomal RNA", at positions 26 to 518 of the family's 1533-position model. The record is from RNAcentral.